RNAcentral lists this ribosomal RNA (468 nucleotides) under uncultured bacterium. RNAcentral describes it as "partial 16S ribosomal RNA". It matches the Rfam family "Bacterial small subunit ribosomal RNA", at positions 28 to 507 of the family's 1533-position model. The record is from RNAcentral.
GACGAACGCUGGCGGCGUGCUUAACACAUGCAAGUCGAACGGAAAGGCCCUGCUUUUGUGGGGUGCUCGAGUGGCGAACGGGUGAGUAACACGUGAGUAACCUGCCCUUGACUUUGGGAUAACUUCAGGAAACUGGGGCUAAUACCGGAUAGGAGCUCCUGCUGCAUGGUGGGGGUUGGAAAGUUUCGGCGGUUGGGGAUGGAUUCGCGGCUGAUCAGCUUGUUGGUGGGGUAGUGGCUUACCAAGGCUUUGACGGGUAGCCGGCCUGAGAGGGUGACCGGCCACAUUGGGACUGAGAUACGGCCCAGACUCCUACGGGAGGCAGCAGUGGGGAAUAUUGCACAAUGGGAGGAAGCCUGAUGCAGCAACGCCGCGUGCGGGAUGACGGCCUUCGGGUUGUAAACCGCUUUCGCCUGUGACGAAGCGUGAGUGACGGUAAUGGGUAAAGAAGCACCGGCUAACUACGUG